This 248-nucleotide ribosomal RNA is filed under the name uncultured bacterium. RNAcentral's name for it is "partial 16S ribosomal RNA". It matches the Rfam family "Bacterial small subunit ribosomal RNA", at positions 523 to 769 of the family's 1533-position model. The record is from RNAcentral.
AUACGUAGGUGGCAAGCGUUGUCCGGAUUUAUUGGGCGUAAAGCGAGCGCAGGCGGUUUCUUAAGUCUGAUGUGAAAGCCCCCCGGCUUAACCGGGGAGGGUCAUUGGAAACUGGGAGACUUGAGUGCAGAAGAGGAGAGUGGAAUUCCAUGUGUAGCGGUGAAAUGCGUAGAUAUAUGGAGGAACACCAGUGGCGAAGGCGACUCUCUGGUCUGUAACUGACGCUGAGGCUCGAAAGCGUGGGGAGC